CCUACGGGAUGCAGCAGUAGGGAAUUUUCGGCAAUGGGGGGAACCCUGACCGAGCAACGCCGCGUGAACGAAGAAGUUAUUCGUAAUGUAAAGUUCUUUUAACAGGGAAGAAAGAGAAAUUUGACGGUACCUGAAGAAUAAGCUCCGGCUAACUACGUGCCAGCAGCCGCGGUAAUACGUAGGGAGCGAGCGUUAUCCGUAAUUAUUGGGCGAAAAGGGUGCGUAGAUGGCUUAGUAAGUCUUUUGUAAAAAUGCUGGGCUCAACCCAGUAGGUCAAAAGAUACUGCAAAGCUAGAGUAUGACAGAGGCAAGUGGAACUACAUGUGUAGCGGUAAAAUGCGUAAAUAUAUGUAAGAACACCAGUGGCGAAGGCGGCUUGCUGGGUCGAUACUGACAUUGAGGCACGAAAGCGUGGGGAGCAAACAGGAUUAGAUACCCUUGUAGUC
This 446-nucleotide ribosomal RNA is filed under the name uncultured bacterium. Its description in RNAcentral is "partial 16S ribosomal RNA". It matches the Rfam family "Bacterial small subunit ribosomal RNA", at positions 338 to 795 of the family's 1533-position model. The record is from RNAcentral.